This 930-nucleotide ribosomal RNA is filed under the name Cortinarius sp. PDD 72770. RNAcentral describes it as "LSU rRNA". It matches the Rfam family "Eukaryotic large subunit ribosomal RNA", at positions 37 to 953 of the family's 3401-position model. Lineage: Eukaryota; Fungi; Basidiomycota; Agaricomycetes; Agaricales; Cortinariaceae. The record is from RNAcentral.
AGCAUAUCAAUAAGCGGAGGAAAAGAAACUAACAAGGAUUCCCCUAGUAACUGCGAGUGAAGCGGGAAAAGCUCAAAUUUAAAAUCUGGCGGCCUCUGGUUGUCCGAGUUGUAAUCUAGAGAAGUGUUAUCCGCGCUGGACCGUGUACAAGUCUCCUGGAAUGGAGCGUCAUAGAGGGUGAGAAUCCCGUCUUUGACACGGACUACCAGGGCUUUGUGAUGCGCUCUCAAAGAGUCGAGUUGUUUGGGAAUGCAGCUCAAAAUGGGUGGUAAAUUCCAUCUAAAGCUAAAUAUUGGCGAGAGACCGAUAGCGAACAAGUACCGUGAGGGAAAGAUGAAAAGAACUUUGGAAAGAGAGUUAAACAGUACGUGAAAUUGCUGAAAGGGAAACGCUUGAAGUCAGUCGCGUUGUCCAGGGAUCAGCCUUGCUUUUGCUUGGUGCACUUUCUGGUUGACGGGUCAGCAUCAAUUUUGACUAUUGGAAAAAGAUUGAGGGAAUGUGGCAUCUUCGGAUGUGUUAUAGCCCUUGGUUGUAUACAAUGGUUGGGAUUGAGGAACUCAGCACGCCGCAAGGCCGGGUUUUUAACCACGUACGUGCUUAGGAUGCUGGCAUAAUGGCUUUAAUCGACCCGUCUUGAAACACGGACCAAGGAGUCUAACAUGCCUGCGAGUGUUUGGGUGGAAAACCCGAGCGCGUAAUGAAAGUGAAAGUUGAGAUCCCUGUCGUGGGGAGCAUCGACGCCCGGACCAGACCUUUUGUGACGGUUCCGCGGUAGAGCAUGUAUGUUGGGACCCGAAAGAUGGUGAACUAUGCCUGAAUAGGGUGAAGCCAGAGGAAACUCUGGUGGAGGCUCGUAGCGAUUCUGACGUGCAAAUCGAUCGUCAAAUUUGGGUAUAGGGGCGAAAGACUAAUCGAACCAUCUAGUAGCUG